UACGUAGGCAGCAAGCGUUGUUCGGAAUUACUGGGCGUAAAGAGUGUGUCGGCGGUGUUCUAAGUUUGUCGUGAAAUCUCCCGGCUUAACUGGGAGGGUGCGGCGAAAACUGGAAUGCUAGAGGAUGGGAGAGGUAAGCGGAAUUCCUGGUGUAGCGGUGAAAUGCGUAGAUAUCAGGAGGAACACCUGUGGUGUAGACAGCUUACUGGACCAUUUCUGACGCUGAGACACGAAAGCGUGGGUAGCAAACAGG
This 253-nucleotide ribosomal RNA is filed under the name uncultured bacterium. RNAcentral's name for it is "partial 16S ribosomal RNA". It matches the Rfam family "Bacterial small subunit ribosomal RNA", at positions 524 to 776 of the family's 1533-position model. The record is from RNAcentral.